ACCGUAAGUUGCGCCUCGUUCGGU
Molecule: non-coding RNA, 24 nt
Filed under: Arabidopsis thaliana (thale cress)
Lineage: Eukaryota; Viridiplantae; Streptophyta; Magnoliopsida; Brassicales; Brassicaceae
Source: RNAcentral